RNAcentral lists this ribosomal RNA (493 nucleotides) under uncultured bacterium. RNAcentral describes it as "partial 16S ribosomal RNA". It matches the Rfam family "Bacterial small subunit ribosomal RNA", at positions 29 to 507 of the family's 1533-position model. The record is from RNAcentral.
ACGAACGCUGGCGGCGUGCUUAACACAUGCAAGUCGAACGGUGAAGCGCCUUCCUUUUUGGUGGGUGUGGAUGAGUGGCGAACGGGUGAGUAACACGUGAGUAACCUGCCCCCUUCUUCUGGAUAACCGCAUGAAAGUGUGGCUAAUACGGGAUAUUCUGGGUCUGUCGCAUGAUGGGUCUGGGAAAGAUAUUGUUUCGGUGGGGGAUGGGCUGGCGGCCUAUCAGCUUGUUGGUGGGGUGAUGGCCUACCAAGGCGGUGACGGGUAGCCGGCCUGAGAGGGUGGACGGUCACACUGGGACUGAGACACGGCCCAGACUCCUACGGGAGGCAGCAGUGGGGAAUAUUGCACAAUGGGCGCAAGCCUGAUGCAGCGACGCCGCGUGAGGGAUGGAGGCCUUCGGGUUGUGAACCUCUUUCGCCAGUGAAGCAGGCCUGCCUCGUUUGUGGGUGGGUUGACGGUAGCUGGAUAAGAAGCGCCGGCUAACUACGUG